RNAcentral lists this ribosomal RNA (171 nucleotides) under uncultured bacterium. RNAcentral's name for it is "partial 16S ribosomal RNA". It matches the Rfam family "Bacterial small subunit ribosomal RNA", at positions 1323 to 1500 of the family's 1533-position model. The record is from RNAcentral.
AAGUUGGAUUCGCUAGUAAUCGCGCAUCAGCCAUGGCGCGGUGAAUACGUUCCCGGGCCCUUGUACACACCGCCCGUCAAGCCAUGGGAGCCGGGGGCGCCUGAAGUCCGGGACCGCGAGGACCGGCCUAGGGCGAAACUGGUAACUGGGGCUAAGUCGUAACAAGGUAGC